AGAGUUUGAUCCUGGCUCAGAACGAACGCUGGCGGCGUGCCUAACACAUGCAAGUCGAACGUGAUUAGAGAGCUUGCUCUUUAUGAAAGUGGCGCACGGGUGAGUAACGCGUAGAUAAUCUGCCUGGUGAUCCGGGAUAACACUUCGAAAGGGGUGCUAAUACCUGAUAAGCCCACGGAGUCUUUGGAUUCUGCGGGAAAAGGGGGGGACCUUCCGGCCUUCUGUCACCAGAUGAGUCUGCGUACCAUUAGCUAGUUGGUAGGGUAAAGGCCUACCAAGGCGACGAUGGUUAGCUGGUCUGAGAGGAUGAUCCGCCACACUGGAACUGAGACACGGUCCAGACUCCUACGGGAGGCAGCAGUGGGGAAUUUUGGACAAUGGGGGCAACCCUGAUCCAGCCAUGCCGCGUGAGUGAAGAAGGCCUUCGGGUUGUAAAGCUCUUUCAGCCGGGAAGAAAACGCAUGGGUUAAUACCCUGUGUGGAUGACGGUACCGGAAUAAGAAGCACCGGCUAACUACGUGCCAGCAGCCGCGGUAAUACGUAGGGUGCGAGCGUUAAUCGGAAUUACUGGGCGUAAAGCGUGCGCAGGCGGUUUUGUAAGACAGGCGUGAAAUCCCCGGGCUCAACCUGGGAACUGCGUUUGUGACUGCAAGGCUAGAGUAUGGCAGAGGGGGGUGGAAUUCCACGUGUAGCAGUGAAAUGCGUAGAGAUGUGGAGGAACACCGAUGGCGAAGGCAGCCCCCUGGGCCAAUACUGACGCUCAUGCACGAAAGCGUGGGUAGCAAACAGGAUUAGAUACCCUGGUAGUCC
RNAcentral lists this ribosomal RNA (810 nucleotides) under uncultured bacterium. Its description in RNAcentral is "bacterial SSU rRNA". It matches the Rfam family "Bacterial small subunit ribosomal RNA", at positions 8 to 796 of the family's 1533-position model. The record is from RNAcentral.